This 446-nucleotide ribosomal RNA is filed under the name uncultured bacterium. RNAcentral describes it as "SSU rRNA". It matches the Rfam family "Bacterial small subunit ribosomal RNA", at positions 26 to 518 of the family's 1533-position model. The record is from RNAcentral.
AGAGCGAACGCUGGCGGCAGGCCUAACACAUGCAAGUCGAGCGCCCGUAGCAAUACGGGAGCGGCAGACGGGAGAGUAACACGUGGGAACGCGCCCUUCGGUUCGGAAUAACUCAGGGAAACUUGAACUAAUACCGGAUACGCCCUUACGGGGAAAGAUUUAUUGCCGAAGGAACGGCCCGCGUCCGAUUAGCUUGUUGGUGAGGUAAUGGCUCACCAAGGCGACGAUCGGUAGCUGGUCUGAGAGGAUGACCAGCCUCACUGGGACUGAGACACGGCCCAGACUCCUACGGGAGGCAGCAGUGGGGAAUAUUGGACAAUGGGCGCAAGCCUGAUCCAGCCAUGCCGCGUGGAUGAUGAAGGCCCUAGGGUUGUAAAGUCCUUUUAACGGGAAGAUAAUGACGGUACCCGUAGAAUAAGCCCGGCUAACUUCGUGCCAGCAGCCGC